CUCAUUCUCACAAAGGAAGGCAAUGGUUCGAAGCUCUCAUCAGAAAUUGCCCUCAUUUUCAUCAGAGGUGAAAUCCCUUCUUCUUCUUCUCUUAAACCAUUUCAGAGCUUUCCAUUUCUGGUUUUUGGUAAUGGAAUUUUUUUUUCUUCUUAAAAGUGCGAUUUUCAUUUACAGAGUUGACCUUGUUUUCGUAAACCAUUGCUUGUGUUGCAGCUGGUUUAGUAGUUUUUUCCACUCCAAAAGCUUUGAUGAAGCUCCAUUUUCAUCUCGGUUAAGGUUUGAUAUUCUAGAUAUUUACAUCAAUGGACCAAAAGAGAAGCUAAACUCAACUGUUAUAAGCCAGUUUCCAUUUGCAGGUUAAGUGCUGAUAGAUCACACGGCAGACAAAAGCUCCUCAAGCUGCAGAGACCAUCCAUACUGAUUUGAGAGAGGGUUCAUCUUUGUUGAGAAUGCAAAAUGACUAGAAGUUAAAAAAGGAAGAUUCAAAACUAGCUAAAGUUUGAGCAAGGAAACACAAUCUGACUCUUGUACUGAAUCUUACAAUCGAAAAUCGCCUCCCAGUGUUAAGAAGUGUUAUGCAUUCCUAGAUUUCCUGUGAGUAUAUUUUAAAUCACAAAGAUCGCAUCACACAUUCUUGACAGCCACUUGUUGCCCUUUUAAAUAAGCUGGUUGUUUUGCAGGAGUAAAAAUUAUGACGAAUAUAAACGGUUGCAUCCUGAACUCAAAGUUGAUGAAAUUCGUACUAAGUUGGGAAGAAUCUUUGAAGCCCUUCCCCCUGAGGAGAAGGCCGAAUAUGGGAUGGUUAUCAAAAAGGAAAAAGCCAAAAGAUGACGAGACGCUCCACUGCAAGUGCAAUCCUAAAAGGGUUAUGGCUUUAGGAAGAAUAUUGAGUGCUGAGCAAAAGAAGGCAGUGAGGAAUAUUGGAUUUGGUGCAAUGUUGGAUUUGAAGAUGGACUGUGGAUGAGCAAGUUAACUAGGUGGUUAGUUGAUUAGAUUGACGAUGGUGGGAGGGUACUUACUGUGGGUACCACGAUCAUAGAGUUGAAGGUGUAUCUUUUUUAGCAUGUUAUGGGGAUUAGGGAUGGCGAUACCCCUAUCAAACUGCCUGAGAAGAAUCACUACAACCCUUACCAUGAUUUGAUUUUUAACAUGCAUAAGAAAGCCACUGCCAUCAAUGACUUGGAAAAAGUAAUUGAACAGAGAAAGACAGCAGGCGAGCUUUUUCUCAUGCGUUACGUAUUGUUCGUAAUUGUGGUCACUCUUUGUCCAACGUCGGGAAAUAUCGUGUUAAGAAAGCUUAACUAUCCAUUUUCUUCAAUGUGGAGUCUAUUAAGAAUUUCAAUUGGGCGAUACACACCCUCAAAUAGUCUAGCUGAAGAAGUUCUAUACGAAUCUCGAUUUAUUUCAGAAAUGGAUAAACCACUCAUAUUGUCUAGUGACAGUAAUGAGGCAAUAGAAAAUUCGAAAUAAACUCGAAACUACAAAAGAGUAAAACAUAUAGAGAGAAAGUACCACAUUAUGGAGGAUGUGUGGCGAAGGCGUGAAGUGAAGGUGAUGAAGAUAGCAUUGGAAGGAAAUCUUUCAUAUCCCUUUACAAAGAUAUAAGCAGAGAGCAUAAUUGUGAAGCAUGUAGAAUGCAUGGUUUUGAGAAACAUGUCCCAUUUGUUUUUAAAAGGGCAAGUGGGAGUUUGUUGGAUUUUAUGCCCUUAUAAAACCAUGUCGAACAUGUAGCACGAUUUCAUAGUAUCAAUAAAAGUAGUAGAAAUCAUUUAGUUUGGCAA
This is an RNA transcript of Humulus lupulus (European hop), 1781 nucleotides long. RefSeq lists it as uncharacterized. NCBI's taxonomy places the organism in Eukaryota, Viridiplantae, Streptophyta, Magnoliopsida, Rosales, Cannabaceae. The transcript is spliced from 5 exons. The record is from RefSeq and is a predicted model, not a curated record.